RNA transcript from Monomorium pharaonis (pharaoh ant), 8148 nucleotides. It is a transcript of the gene named peptide deformylase, mitochondrial, with no coding region annotated. NCBI's taxonomy places the organism in Eukaryota, Metazoa, Arthropoda, Insecta, Hymenoptera, Formicidae. The transcript has 4 exons. The record is from RefSeq and is a predicted model, not a curated record.
GGAUUCAUAGAUAUUUGACUACGUAGUUAGAUGGCGCAGGAUGACCAUAUUAUCUCGUUAUUGCAAUGUUAUCGACUGAGUUCUUUUUCUCUCGGCAUCGGGAGAUAACUCAACGUAACGAAACCUUUAUUCGACGCUGCAGGUUUCCAGUAUUUUCGUCGUCGUGUCAGGUUGGGAAACAUAUGAACGGAAAUAUCAGUGGCAUGGAUAAUAGAUAACCUCAAUUCUGAAAACUUAAAAACGUCGUGAUAUCAGUGUGUAAAUAUGUUUGGUGUACGUCGUUUCGCUAAUACAGCCUUGCCUGCCAUUGUCGUUCGAAGGGACGGUGUGCGAUUCAUAAGCUUUCUGAAAAUGAAAGAAACAUUCCAGCGAUUACUGGGCACGAAUUCCGACGAGUUGCCGUAUACGCACGUCUGUCAAAUUGGCGAUCCUGUCUUGCGCGGUCGCGCUAUGAGAAUAGAAUCAGAAGUCAUAAAAAUGGCGGACUUUCAAAAGGUAAUCAUGCGUUUGAUAAACGUUAUGCGGGAACAUGAAGCAUUCGGUCUAUCUGGGCCUCAAAUUGGACUACCCUGGCAAAUAUUCGCCAUCGAAUGCACGAAGGAAGCUGUAGGAAAGGUUGAGGAGUCCCUGAAGAAGGCUCGUGAAAUGGAUGUUGUUCCAAUGACGAUUUUUAUUAACCCUGAAUUAAAAGUUAUAGACUAUACACCUAUUACCCUUUUCGAGGGAUGCGCAAGCAUUCUCGGAUAUGAAGCUGCUGUUCCUAGAGCCUAUGAAGUGGAAAUUACAGCAUUGAAUGCUUCUGCUGAACAGUUCACAUGGAGAGCACGUGGAUGGGCUGCUCGAAUAGCACAACAUGAAUACGAUCAUUUACAAGUGAGGGACCGUGGAAUCGACUAUCUGGAAGACCCCGAAUGCCAGAAGGAAAUUGGUGGGUAACAUAUUUCAUCCCUAUCGGUGCCGAUUCUUCCGGUAAAAGGAAUUAGAAGAAUUACUCCCUCGCCGUUGCGGUUCCGGGAAAGGACGGGAAGGAUUGAGGGACUCGGUCUUAUACAAUUCGGCCAGGACGACUAGGUCAUCUAUUUGCCGAUUUCUUAUCCGGAAAGAGAAUGAUGCUGUUGCUGCCGCCGCUGGUGUAUCCUGAUUACGAGAUGUCGUUCCAAAUGUGCAUGACUUCUUCGAUACGCAUCCCCUAGGAUUAGAAGAGAUUAAGCCAGUCCUGCAAGAAAGGUAAUCGUGAGUGUUUGAGAAGAUUAAGCCACUCCGUCAAGGGCGGUAAUCACGACCCUCGCUUUUAAGGUUUAUCUCACGCCGCUGGUGUUGCCGCCGGAGUAAGUUUUGCAUGGGGUGAAAUCGCGGAGAUACAUGCGAGACAUCCACGCGGUGUCAUUGCUCCAUCCUCGAUCGAUUGCCUUCCACUGCGUUUACGAGCGCGACGCCGGCGUCGUGCUAUAUUUUUAUCGUGCUGAUACAGCAAAUAGAAGUUUAUCGGAAAAUUAAUUUAUGGAUUGAAAAUGUUAGAUAACAACUCGUUUGCUGCCCGUUAACAACUAUUUAUAUCUUUGUGAAUAUUCCUUGCGCUAUUAUUUACAAUUAAUUGCAAUCGUACAAUUAACAGAUAAAGGCAAAUUUAUAACAUUGUUUUAUUUGCGCGACAGUUUAUCGCAAAUAUAAUAUAAAGCUUAUGGGGUGUCGCACAUUUUGCGACUAUAUAUUUAAUUAGCUUAAUCUUGUUUCCGUUUAUCUCUGGAUUUUUUUUUAGAAAUUGCAGAACAAAUUAUAACACUUCUUCUUUAUCUUAGAUAAUCUUCAGCCAUCGUUAUUUUUCCCCCGAACUUUCUAAAAUGCACGACAGAUUGAUUUGCCUGUUCGUAAAGCUUUGAUCGACCGUCCGGUAUUGUUUGAGGGGUGAAAAGCGUGGACGAAGUCACGGAGGGUGAGCUGCGAAAAAUGAGAAGGAGGAUACUGUACGUGACAUGCGUGGCGACAAGAUGUACACGUGUGCAUUAACCUCGCUUACACACACACGUACACCCACGCGCACAAGUACACAAGCGAAAGAAGAAUUCGAAAAGUUACCGAUGCGUGUUUUUACAACUUACAAACUUACAAAAACGGACUUACGGAACAACUUACAAAAAAAAAAACGUAAUUUUCCACCACGUGUCGUUGUACAACUGAAUCGCUCUAUGAUUGAUUAAUCUGCAGAUUGUCGCACAAACUUUCCUCUCUUGGAAUUGUACUUUUCGAGAGAUAUGAAGGAUAGCAUCGGGUCACAUGGGCCGUAAUAACGCCCGAAACCAUAUUUCUCAGAAGUUAACAAAGUGUAUAAACUUAUAUAACGUCGUGACAGCUUAUGUCCAUUAUUAUAAAAAAGGUCGAGAGAAAGAGAGGAUAGAGAGAGAGAGAGAGAGAAUUUUAUUUAUAUCGAUGUGUGAAGCGAUGUAUUGGUUGCUAGGAAAAGAAUUUUAAUAGCACACACCUCACAAGGAGGUUUCCUCUUUUGUGAUUUUAAGCGAGACUCCAUCACGUGGAAUUUCGCCGGUGGAAGAAAUUGCGUUACGAUAAGCUGGCCUCGCCUGAUAGGAAUAAACGGAAUUUUCCGGCUCUAUAGAUGCAAUAAAAUCUGUCCGGAGCUACGUUGUAAAUUGCGGGGACAUGAUCGUGCGAGAAAGUCAGGGAAUAGCGGAGAUAACGCGAGCGUGCUGAUCGAUAAGAACCCCGGUAAGGCCGCUUCGGAUUUUCUCGUGAGUCGCGCACACCGGUGAAGAUCGUGGGGUGCGCCUCGAGGAACCAUUAGAAUCGAAGCAUCUCGCGCGUUCUUUCCACCCCGGGGUACACAAUGGCGUUUAUUGCACCCUGAAUUUUAUUGGAGAUUUCGGCACGAGCGAAACGGAAAGUUGGCGAAAUUAGAAAGGACGGAUUUACCAACGCACAGCUCCGCGUACAGGACCCGGCGCGUCUAUUUUCAGCUCUCAACCCCCUCCCUCUCUUUCUCUCGUAAUCAUAUUCCGCGAUAAAGCGCGCGGAACUAUUCAUCGCUUUUCCGCGAAGCGCGAAUCAACAACCCCCGCACUUUCGUUACGUUACGCACCGGUGCGGAAAUUUUUCAACACACUACACAUUUUUCGCUCAUCCGUCGUCCCCUUUGUCACGUGCAGCCUUUAUUGCGGGACGAGGACGCGACGACGCGUCUGAUAACCCAACUGUAAUUGUAUUUUCGAACUUGUAAGGGACGCCGAGUGAGAAAACUGGCGCGUCGCAGUUUCUUUUUUCCGUCACAGUUCGUCGAGCAUUCCACGACCUGUGGCAUCGUCGCGAAUGUCUCGCCCACUUGGUCUCUUGUUUCGAGCUGCGUAUUAAAGAAUCGAAUUUAAACCAAUUCCACGAACAUUUUGUUAUUUCUAACUUUCAUAUGAUCAAAAUUUAUUAUUUUACCACAAAAUAUUUUUGUGGUUGAAUUGCUUAGUUUUAAAGUGGCAGCGACGUAUGCGCUUGGUAAACAAUAAAUUUUUGGCUCAAAUUUAACAUUUUUACAAUUAAAUUCAACUUAAGGUUUUGGGUAUAAUUUGACAUUGAAAAUUUAUUAGUGCAAGGAUGAAGAAGGUAACGAAAGGACGUAAAUUAAAAUCAUUCGGAGGAAUUGCUUCAUUGCGUUUCUCAUUGCGUGUUUCUUUCUUCCUUCGUCGUAACCUUGUCCUUCCAUCUUCAUUCCGACAGAGAAUGUAAAUCCCCGCAUUAAUACGACAGAAAAUUAUCAUCUUCUUUAUACCGAGUCCGUGUGUUAUCCGCGCAGUGUAAUCCUCCUCCAGUUUAUGCCGCAGGAAAUGUAUAUUAAUAGAAGAUGUUGAAUUUUUACGAAAUAUACUCUGCGGCUUUCCGCGGCAGGCGACUUUCGAAAGGGCAGGGGCGAUCGUCACGUAAUCCCUUGACUGCUAAUGCAUUGCGGUAGGGGCUGCAGCAAGUGCCGGCAGUGCGCCUCGUACCGGCCAGCUCGUUUGGUAAAUCAAUGAUGCUCCUUUUCGCACUCGUUCUUUUUCAGUGUCAAGGUAACACCACCCGCGCCCCACGUAUACCCGCGAGGAAUUCUCCCUCCUUUGGCUCAAUUUCUCACCGUGAGAUUUAUGAACGGGCCAUACCGAAAUUUACACUUCUCCGAUCCUCGCUUCCCGCGUUUACUUAUAGAUACGAAAAACUCGUCGAGCCGAAUGCUGGCGGAGUUUCCUCUCGAGCUCGCGCGCGAAAUCUUUAAUCGCCUCAAGUCUUAAACCUAAAUAAGUGAUAAUAUAUACUGAUUUACCGUGAAACAAAUUUAAUGAACGUACAAGUGGAACAUUAUAAAUAAACGAGGAAACUCCUCCAAGGCUUUUUUCUUCCUCUUUAAUAUUUAAUAUCAUCUUCUAAAACAUUGCAAAUUUUUUCCCCUCUCAAAAUAGCGCAUGAAUUUUUCAUACAGGCUGUGUAAUAGAGUCCAAUAAACAACUCUCUCUCUCUCUCUCUCUCUCUCUCUCUCUCUCUCUCUCUCUCUCUCUCUCUCUCUCGCACGCUCCCGAAGUUGCAGAUGCGUUUAUUUUAAUUUGUUACAUUGAUCCGUAUAUUGCUCCAUUGAUCCGACCCUCACGUGCCUUCCCACCGCCAAAUUCGGUUUGGCAGGAAGCUAUCAAAGGUGUAUUGAGUCCGCAGGAUGAAUAAUUUAUAACGUAUAAUAUAAUGUCGCUUGUUUAAUAUUCCACGGAGCUAUCCGCCACGCUUGUUUUAACGGCUCUAUCCGAUAGACAUGCGUAUUCCGCUUUAUCCCCAAAGGAUUAGCAGGUUUGCAGUCUGACCCUGUUAUUACGUUUUCACUUAGGUCCGCCCGACUCUUACUUAUGCAUGAAAGGGACUCCGGGAGGGCUAAUGAUGUCAACGCGAGGGAAAAAAAAUUUUCUCCGUCGCCGACAGUUUCAUCUCCUCCGCGAGUAACGAAAACCUCGUACGCGAGAGACGGAUCUCUCGGCUGGGCGAUAACAAUAAAGCUCAACUUGUGCUGAGAAAGCCUCGUUAGAAUUGUGCUAUAGGCCACCGGGUGCGGGACGCUCGUGCCUGAAUUUUUCACAAGGAUAUGCCACAUGUGAAGCCUUCCUUACUUCCAUAUGUACAUAUAAUAAAGUCGUAGUCGUUAUUUCCGAGCGGAGCGGUCAUCACGCUUCAUGAUAAUUGAAUCGCGGUCCACGGGAACUCCGAGGACGGAAGGAGAGGAAAAAGAAAUGUAUCUGGAGGUCCUCGGAUCCUGUAAUUGCGUGCAUUCGGAAAAAAAAACCGCGAAAAAAUUAUGUGUCCGUUCGUACACAAGUGACAGUUACUGUACAAGGAGCACACAGAUAUAAUCGCGCUAUCGAUUCGAGGUCCGAACGCGGCUGGUACGGCCUAGAACAGAAAUAACUGAAAACACACCCUUAUCGCGAGAGUCGCCCGCUACUGCGAUCUAAGCCUAAAGAAACAUUGUGCCCUGAAUUACGUUAAGCUGAUUGCUUCCUCUCGCCAUUUGGGACAUCGUCGUUUAUAAUCGCGGGGCGACGAUGCUAUCGCCGCAAGGGUGCUCGCUACUUAUGUGUUAUAAAUAGCGGCGGGAGCGACUUGUGUGUAUAUUCAGAGCGUGCCGUUUCCUAUUUUUAAAAGAUGUAAUAUACAUCACGUGUAACGCGCGCGUUAACAUGUGAAAGACGAAAGAAAAAAAAAAAAGACCGUUGUUGCUUGCCGAUGGCGAGUGGAGGAGCAGCCGCCGCCGCCGCCGCACUGGGAAACAGGGUUGAGAACCGCGGUCUUAAAACAGCACUGCGUGCCAGAUCGAUAACACGGCGGCUACCCUUAAGCUCUGAAAUGUGGACCGAAGUGGACGCAAAAUUUCGAGCUUCUAUCGAAGCGUUUUCCCUUUGCCGAGUCAUGUACAAUUCGUCUGGCGGAUGAUAGACAUAAAAUUGACAUAUCGCUUCGUACGAGUCAGUCUGGCUCGUUCGGCAGUUCGGGCACGAUCGCCAAACUGAGCCAUCAUCGUCGAAGGUUCCGCUCCUCGGAAUCCCCAUCGAAAUGUCAUCGCGAUUGCGAUCGGUGCCUCUGAAUAACGCGUGUGAACGGCGCGAGCCUCGACCUCCACGUAACGCCUUCGCGGUUACUUCAAUUUCCGCCGCGCGAGCGUAGCGCAAUCGACUUAUCUAAUACGCGAAUGCAUAAUUUAAACGCGUGUACAGCGUCAAUUGACGCGACGUAACGAAAUAUACCGGUCUCGUAACUUUGUUACUCGCCAGGUCUGACCUGGUUGUCAAGACCCGCCGUGCGUUUCCUCGACCGCGCGAUUUCGAGUGGCGAUCGCCUUGGUGCAUGCGAGGUCCUACGUUGGACUUAUUAUUGACCGAGGCCUGUCGUUAAUCGGGGCAAAAGGUCCGAUGGGGUCCGGGAAAGUUAACUGAUGAACACGUGAGCCGAUAACGCGCGCGCGCCGCUGCCGUCGUGCCGCUAUUCGGAGCGGGCGCCGAUGCCCGGAGCGUGCUGAUUUCAAUUUAAUUAACGCCGUCGGAUAAAUUAUCGUCGCGCAUUAACCUCGAGUGUCUUGCAGUGUGCGGUUUUAAAUAUGUGCCACGCUCGUACAAACGAGCUCGCGUGGCCUCGCGUAUGCACUUGCAUGCAUGCAUCGCCAGACUUGGAGCCGCACGGUGAAGUGAAAAAUCGUACGAGGUAACUGCAAAGGAAAAUUGGAUGUACGAACAUUUUUAUUUUAACGUUCAAUUUUGGCGAUACACGUUUUAAAAGUGUAUAAAAUAAGAUCAAACGAAAUAAUUAUAAUAAGUAUAAAAAUUAACGAGGGUUGUACGUUUUGAAAAAGUGUAAUAGACUUUGUCUGUCGGCUCGCAUUUCCCACAUUUUCGGCGAUCUCGAGUGGCAGCACUGCCCGAAGCGCCUUUAGCCCAAAGGAAUGUUUUCGCUAGAUUUCCAGACUGUAGACUAUGUCCCAGCGGGUGGACAGUGUAUGUAUGUGUGUGUGUGUGUGUGUGUGGUGAGUGGGCGUGCGAGGGUGGAAUUCCUCGCGGGAAACGCGUCAACGUCUCAUUUGUCUCGUCACAUGGAGGACGCUCGCGACGCUUAUACGAUCCCUCCCGGUUUCCCCUCUGUCCGGCAGUUCCACGAGACGCAACCCCUCGAACAGAAGUGGUCCGUAUUCAUAAGGGAUAAGGGAAAAGAAAGGUGUAUGCUCUUAGGCAGAGGCGACGCGAACACGUAGUACAUCCGAGAGAAUACGCGUGUGUCAGCAGAGAAAAUCGUCGGAGAAAGAUUUUCCAAGUUUUCAUAUAGAGGGAAAUCGCGUGCGAGUACCACGAGAGAGAGUGGUCGGAAGUCUCAAUUCAUCUCGAACGGCUACCACUCUUGUACCCUAUAAUGAUAUUCGUAUUACCUAAGCACUCGAAGUCGUCAUGUAUUAUUUAUGGAUUUACCGUGGACAAAGGCACCGUUGCUCGCGUCCAAUUGUGCGUGCUAAGCGCAUGCAAAAGCGGGGAAAAUCUUGGGAAUGUUAGAAUCUAGCUUCAGAACUUAGAAGAGGACGGGCGAAGCGCGGCGUAAUAACGCGCGCGCGCGAGCCAGGCGGAUGUAAACUCCCGGAGGCUGCAACCCCCCGAGAUUUUAAGCCGGUGAUAUUAAUAUUGGAGAAGCCGGAGGCGGGCAGUAGCUCGUAGCCGAGCGUGUGCGGGCGCCGCCGUCGUAGGUGAAAUCGCGCGUACUGGUUGGUUUCGGGCAGGCACCUGCAGGCAGUUUGUUAAAAGCGCACCACGGCUUAAUAUCGAUUAAGGGCCACAAAGGACUCCCGGUUUGCCGGCGCGCGCCCGUUUACUACCGAUACAGAGAUUACACGAAGUUUCGGCCCGAUGGAGCCGAUGCCACCCACAGCCCGGCGAUACGUACGGCGAUAUGGUUUGCGAAACUAUUAAAUCGCGUCACCCUGAAAUAUUAACAAACUUUAUAAUUAUCGUCAAAGGGCGGCGGUCUGCGGGGAAAUUUGAAUUCGGCGGCGCAUUAGUAAUAAAUCAGUCGGGGAUAAAUUAUUUGCCAAGUGUAAACGACGAUGAUGAUUUAUAUCGGACGGUAUUGCAAAUUGACAUGAUACGAUUGAGAGAGAGAGAG